GAGACUUUAGUUUUAAUGGUAAAACAUAUGACUUUUAAUCAUUAUAUUGUAGGUUCGAAUCCUACAAGUCUUA
RNAcentral lists this transfer RNA (73 nucleotides) under Paracoccidioides brasiliensis. Its description in RNAcentral is "tRNA-Lys". It matches the Rfam family "tRNA". From Rfam's summary of the family: Transfer RNA (tRNA) molecules are approximately 80 nucleotides in length. Their secondary structure includes four short double-helical elements and three loops (D, anti-codon, and T loops). RNAcentral also lists the same sequence under 1 other name. The record is from RNAcentral. Lineage: Eukaryota; Fungi; Ascomycota; Eurotiomycetes; Onygenales; Ajellomycetaceae.